AAUCCAUGUUGAGGAUAUUUUCGCAGGAGAUCCUUGAACCUUUCCUAUGUAUUAAAGAGAGACUCCAAUUCCAUUUGUACAAAGGAAGAUAUCUCAUUCUUGAGCUU
Small nucleolar RNA from Dioscorea cayenensis subsp. rotundata (Guinea yam), 107 nucleotides. Lineage: Eukaryota; Viridiplantae; Streptophyta; Magnoliopsida; Dioscoreales; Dioscoreaceae. The record is from RefSeq and is a predicted model, not a curated record.